CAAAAGCGCAUAGAUCAAUACAACACGCCAAGGCCAGCUAUCUGCCUGCUGCUUUGCUGCCUCAAGCAACAAAAAGCUCGGCCUGGCCGUCGAUGAACAGGCUCAUGAACUCCUCCCCAUCCACCGUCUCCUUCUCGAUCAGAAGCUGUGCGAGCUUGUGGAGGAUGUCGAUGUGCGUCGUGAUGAUCUGUGUUGCUCUCGAGUAGGCCCUCUCCACGAGUUCCCUCACCUCAGCAUCCACAAUGUCCGCUGUAGCCAUGGAGUAGUCCUUUUGGCUGGACAUCUGCGACACCAAUGUGAAAAUUUGUCAAAUUAUGACUUACUUAGUUCCUCUGAAUUAGCGAGAGAAAUACUGAGAAGCAAUGACUAAUCCAAGUGUUCCGUUAAAAAAUGUCUAAUCCAAGUGACAAACUUCCAGAUUAGGCACUAGGCAGGGAAACCAAAGUCUGGCAGCAGCCACACAGAAUGAGAUACCGUGCCUAUUCACACCUUUGCUAUGAACCAGAAGGCUGAUGAUGACAGACUUGGCAGUAUAGGAGUGGCGUGUUAUGGGACAGCAUUAGAAGAGUAAAAGUGACUCAAGCCAGGGUACAGUGGCCAUCAAGGAUGUAACUGGGCUUGUCAAUACAGAACAUAGAGAAAAAAUAUUUUCCUAGAGGCUGGUGGUGGUUUCAGGACACAAGCCGAAGAAGACAGCAAAGGUUGGGCAGAUGUGUUGUAAUUGUUGAGGUUUGUAUGCCAAUCGUUUCAUUUAGUUGCUACAGGCCCUCAUUCUAGACUAACAGGACUUUUCUUGGAAAGCCUAAUUCAAUUUUCCCUUUCAAUAAUAGUGGCAUACCUGCUGUCCCAAGAAAGGGUUUCCGCCAGGUCCCCCAAUAGCAACUUGUCCGAUCUUCUUACUGAAUCCAAAUCUUUCAACCAUUUGCCUUGCGACACGUGACACCUGCAUAAAGUCAUUGGAAGCUCCUGUCGUCACAUUUUCUUGGCCAAAGAUCACCUCUUCAGCAACCCUGCACACCAUGAUAGCUCAACUAGUUCAGCACUCUGCACAACAGCAGCAAUUAGUGGAUGCUAAAAUGAAGCAGACUUUUCAUAAAGACCGCACCUGCCACCAAGGGCUACAGCCAUUUGGUUCUCAAGAUAGCUUCUGCUGUACAAUCCAGACUCAAGCCGCUCUUCACUUGGAGCAAAGAAUGUGAGUCCACCAGCUUGUCCACGAGGAAUGAUGGAAAUCUUAGCAACCGGAUCAUAUUCGGGCAUGAGGGCACCGACAAGAGCAUGGCCAGCCUCUGCAAAUUCAGAAGUUCAGAAACAGAUUAGGAAUCCAUGUCUCCCAGAAUGGGUUCAACUUGAAGCUAUAAUUCAUGAAAUUUACCAUGGUAAGCCACAAGCUUCUUCUUCUCUUCAGAAACAACUGCAUUUUUCUUCUCGGGCCCAGCAAUGAUCCUCUCAAGAGCAUCUGAGAUCUCAUCCUUGCUUAUUUCCUUAAGAUCACGACGAGCAGCAAGAAUGGCAGCCUCGUUCAUCAAGUUUUGAAGAUCAGCUCCAGUGAAACCAGGGGUUCUUCUAGCAAUUUUCUCAAAGUCAACAUCUUUAGCCAAUGCUUUUCCUCGGGAGUGAACCUAUUAGAUGACAAUAUGCAAUAGGAUUAAUUAUCUCACAUGACCAAAUCAGGAUGAAGAAAGUGAGCUUGAGUCUGAACUAAGGUGAUGAACAAAUGCAAAUGGAAAGCCAACAAAUGUAAACAUCAGGCAACUAAGUUGUGGAAAAACAUUAGCUUAAGAUUUUAACCUGGCAUUAGUUAACUAUGUUGGGAUUGCAAGGCCCGAAAAGAAAAACUAGGCUAACGAAAUAAAUUCAACCUAGAAUGUCCCGACACUCUAUAACAUAACAUGGAACAUCGACAAUGCUACUUAAACAUGUUAUAAUCAAAGCGAAUGGCACUAACCAAGUUUUCUAACCAGUUCAUCAUAACUGCUAGUACUUCAGAAGUGUAUCUAUUAUCAGGAAAUCAAUUUAAGGGGCAGCCAACUGCCAGAUAUCUACUCCAUUACAUCUAAAAAGUUAGUUACAACCCAGCAUCUUAUAACACAUUACACCGUGAUAUGGAGCGCCUCCAAUGUCCAUGUUAACUAUAGCAAAAAAUAAAAUUUUUUUUCUGUGUUUGUCAUUUCCAAGCAAAAAAGUAGAACCUACAACAAUGUUACUUAACCAUGUUAUCAUCAAAGGCAUAAUCUACAAGUUUGCUGAUCACUUCAUCAGAAGUAGCUCAGAUGCAUAUUCGUUGCUAGCAAAGCAUAAUCGACAAGUCAAGAGCAGCAGUUGGCUCACCACUCACCUCAAGAAUCUUGACGCGCCCAGCAACAUCUGGCCUGUCAACAGUGACCUGCCGAUCAAACCUUCCUGGACGCAGAAGCGCAGAGUCCAGCACAUCAGGCCUGUUGGUCGCAGCGAGGACGAUGACACCACUGUUGCCGGCAAAGCCAUCCAUCUCAGUCAAGAGCUGGUUAAUGGUCUGCUCCCUCUCGUCGUUACCACCACCGAGCCCAGCACCACGCUGCCUCCCGACGGCAUCAAUCUCAUCGAUGAAGACAAUGCAGGGCGCCUUGGCCUUGGCCUUCUCGAAGAGGUCGCGCACCCUGGAUGCACCGACACCGACGAAGAGCUCGACGAACUCGGACGCGGCGCAGGAGAAGAAAGGCACGCCAGCCUCUCCGGCGACGGCACGCGCCAGGAGGGUUUUACCUGUCCCAGGCGGACCGACGAGGAGACAUCCCUUGGGGAUCUUGGCACCCAGAGCGGUGUACUUGUCUGGGUUCUUGAGGAAAUCGACGACUUCCUGCAGCUCGAGCUUGGCCUGAUCGGCCCCGGCGACGUCGACGAACGUGACGCCCGUCUCAGGCACCUCCUGGAACUUGCUCUUGGAGCGUCCAAAGUCCAUGGGCCCGCCGAGCCCGCCAGGGCCCGCGCCCGGCCCGCCCUGCGCGCGGCGGAAGAGGAAGAAGAGCCCCGCGAACGCGAGGAAGGGGAAGAGGAGGUUGCCGACGAAGGCGAUGAAUCCCCCGGGUCCCGCAGCCUCGCCCUCGGAGACGGAGAUGUCGACGCCGUUGGUGGCGAGGAUGUCGAUGAGGUCAGGGUCGUUGGGGACGACGACGGUGGCGCGGCGGCCGUCGACGGCGGUGAGCUGGAGGAGCCCGCCGUCCUUGGAGAAGCGGACGCGCUCGACCUUGCCGCGCUUGACGGCGGAGAGGAACUCGCUGUAGCGCCACUGCGCGCCCUCGGGGAGGUCGGCGGCGGCGGAGGGUUUGGGGGCCGUGAGGAGGGAGUUGGCGAAGGGGUUGGCGGUGGGAGUGGUGGCCUCGGCCUGGAGCUCGGGUGCGGGCGCGGGGGCCGGGGCCGGGGGAGGCGCCGGCGCGUCAGCGGCGAGAGCGGGCGCCGCGGCGAGCGCGAGGAGCGUCGCCGGGAGGGGCCUGGCGAGAGGGAGACGCGGCGGGCGGAGGGAGGAAGGCUUGGGCUUGGGGAGGGAGGCGGUGAUGAGGAGGUGGGAGGUGGACACCGAGGGCGGCGCCAUGGCUGCUGAUGGGGUGGGUGAGUCGAGGC
This 3600-nucleotide long non-coding RNA is filed under the name Setaria viridis. RNAcentral describes it as "long non-coding RNA (SVIR_LNC005086)". The record is from RNAcentral. Lineage: Eukaryota; Viridiplantae; Streptophyta; Magnoliopsida; Poales; Poaceae.